UGGGGAAUAUUGGGCAAUGGAGGCAACUCUGACCCAGCAACGCCGCGUGAGGGAAGAAGGUUUUCGGAUUGUAAACCUCUGUCCUAGGGGACGAAGAAAGUGACGGUACCCUAGGAGGAAGCCCCGGCUAACUACGUGCCAGCAGCCGCGGUAAUACGUAGGGGGCAAGCGUUGUCCGGAAUUACUGGGCGGAAAGGGUGCGUAGGCGGUAUGGUAAGUUAGAUGUGAAAUCCCCGGGCUUAACUCGGGAGUUGCAUUUAAAACUGUCAGACUAGAGUGCAGGAGAGGAAAGCGGAAUUCCUAGUGUAGCGGUGAAAUGCGUAGAUAUUAGGAGGAACACCGGUGGCGAAAGCGGCUUUCUGGCACGAUACUGACGCUGAGGCUCGAAAGCGUGGGGAGCAAACA
RNAcentral lists this ribosomal RNA (405 nucleotides) under uncultured prokaryote. RNAcentral describes it as "bacterial SSU rRNA". It matches the Rfam family "Bacterial small subunit ribosomal RNA", at positions 355 to 774 of the family's 1533-position model. The record is from RNAcentral.